UACGGGGGGGGCAAGCGUUGUUCGGAAUUACUGGGCGUAAAGGGCUCGUAGGCGGCCAACUAAGUCGGAUGUGAAAUCCCCAGGCCUAACCUGGGAACUGCAUCCGAUACUGGAUGGCUUGAAUCCGGGAGAGGGAUGCAGAAUUCCAGGUGUAGCGGUGAAAUGCGUAGAUAUCUGGAGGAAUACCGGUGGCGAAGGCGGCAUCCUGGACCGGCAUUGACGCUGAUGAGCGAAAGCUAGGGGAGCAAACGGG
RNAcentral lists this ribosomal RNA (253 nucleotides) under uncultured bacterium. RNAcentral describes it as "partial 16S ribosomal RNA". It matches the Rfam family "Bacterial small subunit ribosomal RNA", at positions 524 to 776 of the family's 1533-position model. The record is from RNAcentral.